Molecule: long non-coding RNA, 736 nt
Filed under: Canis lupus familiaris (dog)
Lineage: Eukaryota; Metazoa; Chordata; Mammalia; Carnivora; Canidae
Description: lncRNA (ENSCAFG00030010060.1)
Source: RNAcentral
AUGGCAUUCUUCUUGCCUGUUAUAUUUAUAACAUUUUGGAGUCCACUUUCAAGAAAAAAAAAAAUGUUUAUUAACAAGGCAUCUGUCAGGUCCCAGGGAGGCUGCUUUACAAUAAAUUCCUUCGAGCUGCAAAAUGUGACCAACAUGUGUUCCUGCAGGCAUUUCUGGCUCUUUGACUGUGAAUCACUCUCCGCUCCAUCUGCAUUUGGCCAGGCAACACCUGAAGACUAUCUCGUUCAUCAUCUCAGAGAAGUGAUGGAUUUGGAGACUAUAGAAAUGACAGAAAGAGAGACUAUUUCCCAUUCUUCCCAGUUUCUGAAGCUCACGUGAAGCCAUCUGAGCUCUGCUCCACUGAACCCAGAUUCUCGUCUUGUAAUCAGUGUAAAAUCGAUACGUCAUUCUUUUGUGCUUUGAAUCACUUGAUCAAUAAAGUGAAAACUGUUUAAGUAUUUUAAUUAAUACCACCCCCCCCCCCCCCGUCCCAGAAGGGAACUUGUUAGUCUGCAUGUUUCAAAAAUUACAUUACAACGCCACUAUUGUCUUAACAAAAUGUACCAUCAAGAUGCCCUUCCUCCAGUGUCUCUUUGCUUGGUUUUCCUCCUAAAAUGUUCUCACUUUCCCAGACAACAGCAGGGAGGAUUUUUAAAGAAAUGCUUUCCCACUCGAGGUCACUAAAACAGUUCAGCAUCCUUCUGGGUUCUGCUCUGCUUGUCCAAGCCCUGAGCUUCACAUGGCA